This 420-nucleotide ribosomal RNA is filed under the name uncultured archaeon. Its description in RNAcentral is "bacterial SSU rRNA". It matches the Rfam family "Archaeal small subunit ribosomal RNA", at positions 458 to 880 of the family's 1478-position model. The record is from RNAcentral.
UCAGCCGCCGCGGUAAAACCAGCACCUCGAGUGGUCAGGAGGUUUAUUGGGCCUAAAGCGUCCGUAGCCGGCUGUUUAAGUUUUCGGUUAAACCUAUGCGCUUAACGUAUAGGCUGCCGAAAAUACUGGACAGCUAGGGAGUGGGAGAGGUACACGGUACUCAAUAGGAAGGGGUAAAAUCCUUUGAUCUGUUGAUGACCACCUGUGGCGAAGGCGGUGUACCAGAACACGUUCGACGGUGAGGGAUGAAAGCUGGGGGAGCAAACCGGAUUAGAUACCCGGGUAGUCCCAGCUGUAAACGAUGCAAACUCGGUGAUGCAUUGGCUUGUGCCAAUGCAGUGCCGCAGGGAAGCCGUUAAGUUUGCCGCUGGGAAGUACGUACGCAAGUAUGAAACUUAAAGGAAUUGGCGGGGGAGCACA